AUGACCUCUACUUUGGGGGAGGUCCACCAUUUCUCCUCUGGAAACAUUAAAACACUGGCUGUGAUUUGCUUCUUUUCAGCUCUCGUAGGUAACAGCCUGGAAGAUGAUAUAACUCCCAGCAGAGCUGAAGUGUUUUCAUCAGAGGGUCAAAGAGAAACUCUGUCCUGUAACUACUCAGUUGCAGCUCAGAACCUGCAGUGGUAUCGACAGGAUCCUGGAUCAGGUCCUCAGUUCCUUCUCCUCAUCACUGUUUCAACAAGUCCAACUGUGGUGGAAGCAGAACCUCCAUACCCUGGACUGACUGUAGAACUGAAGAGGGACAGAAAACAAGUAGAUCUGGAGAUCUCCUCUGCUGCAGUGUCUGACUCUGCUGUGUACUACUGUGCUCUGCAGCCCACAGUGACAGGAAACAGCAAAACUCUGUACAAAAACCUUUGGAGCAAAGACAACGCAAUACUCCACAACGUCCACUAGAGGGCCUCACACACUGUUACACUUCUAUGGUUUGUCAGGAUUCAGUCUGGGUUCUUUGUACAGGUGGAAAUAAAGUAAACAUCACUGUUUUCU
This is a non-coding RNA of Melanotaenia boesemani (Boeseman's rainbowfish), 567 nucleotides long. The record is from the annotation of a RefSeq genome assembly. NCBI's taxonomy places the organism in Eukaryota, Metazoa, Chordata, Actinopteri, Atheriniformes, Melanotaeniidae.